CCAAACGCAGCGACGGAGAGAGUAGGUAUGGCGUACACGGCAAAGAGAGAAGCUUCACCGGCUGAGAGGGCUUCCGGGUGUAUCUGUGCUGAAGUUCGCUCCUGAGCGGUCUGUGCGAAACAGCAGUAGUACAGAACGGCCACGCCCCGUUACGGCGUUCUGAGAGCUGCCCGGCAUCUGUGCACGGGUGGAAACCGGGUGGUACCGCGGAGCUAAGAAUCAACGGCUUCGUCCCUUUU
Molecule: non-coding RNA, 239 nt
Filed under: Faecalibacterium
Lineage: Bacteria; Bacillati; Bacillota; Clostridia; Eubacteriales; Oscillospiraceae
Description: cf. T-box sequence
Rfam family: T-box leader
About the family: Uncharged tRNA acts as the effector for transcription antitermination of genes in the T-box leader family. T-boxes are found upstream of many aminoacyl-tRNA synthetase genes and some amino acid biosynthetic genes usually in Gram-positive bacteria.
Source: RNAcentral